AUGACCGCUAGCGGCAGGCUUAACCACAUGCAAGUCGGGGGUAUGGUUCUUCGGAACCAGAGACCGGCGCACGGGUGCGUAACGCGUAUGCAAUCUACCUUUCACAGAGGGAUAGCCCAGAGAAAUUUGGAUUAAUACCUCAUAGUAUAGCUGAACCGCAUGGUUCUACUAUUAAAGUCACAACGGUGAAAGAUGAGCAUGCGUCCCAUUAGUUAGUUGGUAAGGUAACGGCUUACCAAGACUACGAUGGGUAGGGGUCCUGAGAGGGAGAUCCCCCACACUGGUACUGAGACACGGACCAGACUCCUACGGGAGGCAGCAGUGAGGAAUAUUGGUCAAUGGGCGCAAGCCUGAACCAGCCAUGCCGCGUGCAGGAUGAAGCAUCUAUGGUGUGUAAACUGCUUUUAUACGAGAAGAAACAACUCUACGUGUAGAGUCUUGACGGUAUCGUAAGAAUAAGGACCGGCUAACUCCGUGCCAGCAGCCGCGGUAAUACGGAGGGUCCAAGCGUUAUCCGGAAUCAUUGGGUUUAAAGGGUCCGUAGGCGGUCAGAUAAGUCAGUGGUGAAAGCCCAUCGCUCAACGGUGGAACGGCCAUUGAUACUGUCUGACUUGAAUUAUUAGGAAGUAACUAGAAUAUGUAGUGUAGCGGUGAAAUGCUUAGAGAUUACAUGGAAUACCAAUUGCGAAGGCAGGUUACUACUAAUAUAUUGACGCUGAUGGACGAAAGCGUGGGUAGCGAACAGGAUUAGAUACCCUGGUAGUCCACGCCGUAAACGAUGGAUACUAGCUGUUGGGCGCAAGUUCAGUGGCUAAGCGAAAGUGAUAAGUAUCCCACCUGGGGAGUACGAACGCAAGUUUGAAACUCAAAGGAAUUGACGGGGGCCCGCACAAGCGGUGGAGCAUGUGGUUUAAUUCGAUGAUACGCGAGGAACCUUACCAAGGCUUAAAUGUAGAUUGACCGGUUUGGAAACAGACUUUUCGCAAGACAAUUUACAAGGUGCUGCAUGGUUGUCGUCAGCUCGUGCCGUGAGGUGUCAGGUUAAGUCCUAUAACGAGCGCAACCCCUGUUGUUAGUUGCCAGCGAGUCAAGUCGGGAACUCUAACAAGACUGCCAGUGUAAACUGUGAGGAAGGUGGGGAUGACGUCAAAUCAUCACGGCCCUUACGCCUUGGGCUACACACGUGCUACAAUGGACGGUACAGAGAGCAGCCACUGGGCGACCAGGUGCGAAUCUACAAAACCGUUCUCAGUUCGGAUCGGAGUCUUGCAACUCGACUCCGAAGCUGGAAUCGCUAGUAAUCGGAUAUCACCAUGAUCCGGUGAAUACGUCCCGGCCUUG
RNAcentral lists this ribosomal RNA (1341 nucleotides) under Flavobacterium sp. SW254. Its description in RNAcentral is "bacterial SSU rRNA". It matches the Rfam family "Bacterial small subunit ribosomal RNA", at positions 29 to 1383 of the family's 1533-position model. The record is from RNAcentral. Lineage: Bacteria; Pseudomonadati; Bacteroidota; Flavobacteriia; Flavobacteriales; Flavobacteriaceae.